GCCCUGGCAGUCAGAGGCGAUGAAGGACGUGCUAAUCUGCGAUAAGCGUCGGUAAGGUGAUAUGAACCGUUAUAACCGGCGAUUUCCGAAUGGGGAAACCCAGUGUGAUUCGUCACACUAUCAUUAACUGAAUCCAUAGGUUAAUGAGGCGAACCGGGGGAACUGAAACAUCUAAGUACCCCGAGGAAAAGAAAUCAACCGAGAUUCCCCCAGUAGCGGCGAGCGAACGGGGAGGAGCCCAGAGCCUGAAUCAGUGUGUGUGUUAGUGGAAGCGUCUGGAAAGGCGCGCGAUACAGGGUGACAGCCCCGUACACAAAAAUACACAUGCUGUGAGCUCGAUGAGUAGGGCGGGACACGUGGUAUCCUGUCUGAAUAUGGGGGGACCAUCCUCCAAGGCUAAAUACUCCUGACUGACCGAUAGUGAACCAGUACCGUGAGGGAAAGGCGAAAAGAACCCCGGCGAGGGGAGUGAAAAAGAACCUGAAACCGUGUACGUACAAGCAGUGGGAGCACAGAGCAAUCUGUGUGACUGCGUACCUUUUGUAUAAUGGGUCAGCGACUUAUAUUCUGUAGCAAGGUUAACCGAAUAGGGGAGCCGAAGGGAAACCGAGUCUUAACUGGGCGUUAAGUUGCAGGGUAUAGACCCGAAACCCGGUGAUCUAGCCAUGGGCAGGUUGAAGGUUGGGUAACACUAACUGGAGGACCGAACCGACUAAUGUUGAAAAAUUAGCGGAUGACUUGUGGCUGGGGGUGAAAGGCCAAUCAAACCGGGAGAUAGCUGGUUCUCCCCGAAAGCUAUUUAGGUAGCGCCUCGUGAAUUCAUCUCCGGGGGUAGAGCACUGUUUCGGCAAGGGGGUCAUCCCGACUUACCAACCCGAUGCAAACUGCGAAUACCGGAGAAUGUUAUCACGGGAGACACACGGCGGGUGCUAACGUCCGUCGUGAAGAGGGAAACAACCCAGACCGCCAGCUAAGGUCCCAAAGUCAUGGUUAAGUGGGAAACGAUGUGGGAAGGCCCAGACAGCCAGGAUGUUGGCUUAGAAGCAGCCAUCAUUUAAAGAAAGCGUAAUAGCUCACUGGUCGAGUCGGCCUGCGCGGAAGAUGUAACGGGGCUAAACCAUGCACCGAAGCUGCGGCAGCGACGCUUAUGCGUUGUUGGGUAGGGGAGCGUUCUGUAAGCCUGCGAAGGUGUGCUGUGAGGCAUGCUGGAGGUAUCAGAAGUGCGAAUGCUGACAUAAGUAACGAUAAAGCGGGUGAAAAGCCCGCUCGCCGGAAGACCAAGGGUUCCUGUCCAACGUUAAUCGGGGCAGGGUGAGUCGACCCCUAAGGCGAGGCCGAAAGGCGUAGUCGAUGGGAAACAGGUUAAUAUUCCUGUACUUGGUGUUACUGCGAAGGGGGGACGGAGAAGGCUAUGUUGGCCGGGCGACGGUUGUCCCGGUUUAAGCGUGUAGGCUGGUUUUCCAGGCAAAUCCGGAAAAUCAAGGCUGAGGCGUGAUGACGAGGCACUACGGUGCUGAAGCAACAAAUGCCCUGCUUCCAGGAAAAGCCUCUAAGCAUCAGGUAACAUCAAAUCGUACCCCAAACCGACACAGGUGGUCAGGUAGAGAAUACCAAGGCGCUUGAGAGAACUCGGGUGAAGGAACUAGGCAAAAUGGUGCCGUAACUUCGGGAGAAGGCACGCUGAUAUGUAGGUGAAGCGACUUGCUCGUGGAGCUGAAAUCAGUCGAAGAUACCAGCUGGCUGCAACUGUUUAUUAAAAACACAGCACUGUGCAAACACGAAAGUGGACGUAUACGGUGUGACGCCUGCCCGGUGCCGGAAGGUUAAUUGAUGGGGUCAGCGCAAGCGAAGCUCUUGAUCGAAGCCCCGGUAAACGGCGGCCGUAACUAUAACGGUCCUAAGGUAGCGAAAUUCCUUGUCGGGUAAGUUCCGACCUGCACGAAUGGCGUAAUGAUGGCCAGGCUGUCUCCACCCGAGACUCAGUGAAAUUGAACUCGCUGUGAAGAUGCAGUGUACCCGCGGCAAGACGGAAAGACCCCGUGAACCUUUACUAUAGCUUGACACUGAACAUUGAGCCUUGAUGUGUAGGAUAGGUGGGAGGCUUUGAAGUGUGGACGCCAGUCUGCAUGGAGCCGACCUUGAAAUACCACCCUUUAAUGUUUGAUGUUCUAACGUGGACCCGUAAUCCGGGUUGCGGACAGUGUCUGGUGGGUAGUUUGACUGGGGCGGUCUCCUCCUAAAGAGUAACGGAGGAGCACGAAGGUUGGCUAAUCCUGGUCGGACAUCAGGAGGUUAGUGCAAUGGCAUAAGCCAGCUUGACUGCGAGCGUGACGGCGCGAGCAGGUGCGAAAGCAGGUCAUAGUGAUCCGGUGGUUCUGAAUGGAAGGGCCAUCGCUCAACGGAUAAAAGGUACUCCGGGGAUAACAGGCUGAUACCGCCCAAGAGUUCAUAUCGACGGCGGUGUUUGGCACCUCGAUGUCGGCUCAUCACAUCCUGGGGCUGAAGUAGGUCCCAAGGGUAUGGCUGUUCGCCAUUUAAAGUGGUACGCGAGCUGGGUUUAGAACGUCGUGAGACAGUUCGGUCCCUAUCUGCCGUGGGCGCUGGAGAACUGAGGGGGGCUGCUCCUAGUACGAGAGGACCGGAGUGGACGCAUCACUGGUGUUCGGGUUGUCAUGCCAAUGGCACUGCCCGGUAGCUAAAUGCGGAAGAGAUAAGUGCUGAAAGCAUCUAAGCACGAAACUUGCCCCGAGAUGAGUUCUCCCUGACUCCUUGAGAGUCCUGAAGGAACGUUGAAGACGACGACGUUGAUAGGCCGGGUGUGUAAGCGCAGCGAUGCGUUGAGCUAACCGGUACUAAUGAACCGUGAGGCUUAACCUUACAACGCCGAAGGUGUUU
This 2895-nucleotide ribosomal RNA is filed under the name Escherichia coli. RNAcentral's name for it is "partial 23S ribosomal RNA". It matches the Rfam family "Bacterial large subunit ribosomal RNA". Lineage: Bacteria; Pseudomonadati; Pseudomonadota; Gammaproteobacteria; Enterobacterales; Enterobacteriaceae. The record is from RNAcentral.